UGAUCCAGUUGUUUGGUCGGCAUGUAUCGAUUUUUGUACACGAGUGAAUGCCCUGGAAUUGAAAAUCUUUGUAUAUCACUUAUAUGUAUUUUCAAUUAAAUAGUGUGUAGUUGUUUCUUAACAUUUUUUUUUUUUGGUGGUUGGUUAUCUGCAAUACCCCUUUUUUCUUUA
Ipomoea nil (Japanese morning glory) is the source of this 171-nucleotide long non-coding RNA. RefSeq lists it as uncharacterized. The record is from RefSeq and is a predicted model, not a curated record. NCBI's taxonomy places the organism in Eukaryota, Viridiplantae, Streptophyta, Magnoliopsida, Solanales, Convolvulaceae. The transcript is spliced from 2 exons.